UGCCAGCGGUCCGGCCGGGAACUCAAAGGAGACUGCCAGUGAUAAACUGGAGGAAGGUGGGGAUGACGUCAAGUCAUCAUGGCCCUUACGACCAGGGCUACACACGUGCUACAAUGGCGCAUACAAAGAGAAGCGACCUCGCGAGAGCAAGCGGACCUCAUAAAGUGCGUCGUAGUCCGGAUUGGAGUCUGCAACUCGACUCCAUGAAGUCGGAAUCGCUAGUAAUCGUGGAUCAGAAUGCCACGGUGAAUACGUUCCCGGGCCUUGUACACACCGCCCGUCACACCAUGGGAGUGGGUUGCAAAAGAAGUAGGUAGCUUAACCUUCGGGAGGGCGCUUACCACUUUGUGAUUCAUGACUGGGGUGAAGUCGUAACAAGGUAACCGUAGGGGAACCUGUGGUUGGAUCACCUCCUUACCUUAAAGAAGC
This 429-nucleotide ribosomal RNA is filed under the name Shigella flexneri. RNAcentral's name for it is "bacterial SSU rRNA". It matches the Rfam family "Bacterial small subunit ribosomal RNA", at positions 1116 to 1533 of the family's 1533-position model. Lineage: Bacteria; Pseudomonadati; Pseudomonadota; Gammaproteobacteria; Enterobacterales; Enterobacteriaceae. The record is from RNAcentral.